GGUGAACGCUAGCGGCAGGCUUAAUACAUGCAAGUCGAACGGGAUUGAGAAGCUUGCUUUUCAUGAGAGUGGCGCACGGGUGCGUAAUACGUAUGCAACCUACCUUGUCCAGGGGGAUAGCCCGUUGAAAGACGGAUUAAGACCGCAUAACAUUGAGCUGUGGCAUCACAAAUCAAUCAAAUAUUUAUAGGGACAAGAUGGGCAUGCGCCUGAUUAGGUAGUUGGCGGGGUAAUGGCCCACCAAGCCGACGAUCAGUAGGGGAUCUGAGAGGAUGACCCCCCACACUGGUACUGAGACACGGACCAGACUCCUACGGGAGGCAGCAGUAAGGAAUAUUGGUCAAUGGGCGAAAGCCUGAACCAGCCAUGCCGCGUGCAGGAAGACGGCCCUACGGGUUGUAAACUGCUUUUAUACGGGAAUAACCCCGGUUUCGUGAAACCGGCUGAAUGUACCGUAAGAAUAAGGAUCGGCUAACUCCGUGCCAGCAGCCGCGGUAA
Molecule: ribosomal RNA, 498 nt
Filed under: uncultured bacterium
Lineage: Bacteria
Description: partial 16S ribosomal RNA
Rfam family: Bacterial small subunit ribosomal RNA
Source: RNAcentral